ACUCCUACGGGAGGCAGCAGUGGGGAAUAUUGCACAAUGGGCGCAAGCCUGAUGCAGCAACGCCGUGUGAGUGAAGAAGGUUUUCGGAUCGUAAAACUCUGUCCUAAGGGAAGAAAAAAUGACGGUACCUUAGGAGGAAGCCCCGGCUAACUACGUGCCAGCAGCCGCGGUAAUACGUAGGGGGCAAGCGUUAUCCGGAAUCACUGGGCGUAAAGGGUGCGUAGGCGGCUUAGCAAGCCAGAGGUGAAAGGCAUUGGCUCAACCAAUGUAAGCCUUUGGAACUGUUAAGCUUGAGUGCAGGAGAGGUAAGUGGAAUUCCUAGUGUAGAGGUGAAAUUCGUAGAUAUUAGGAGGAACACCAGUGGCGAAGGCGACUUACUGGACUGUAACUGACGCUGAUGCACGAAAGCGUGGGUAGCGAACAGGAUUAGAUACCCUGGUAGGAUAGCG
This 449-nucleotide ribosomal RNA is filed under the name uncultured bacterium. Its description in RNAcentral is "bacterial SSU rRNA". It matches the Rfam family "Bacterial small subunit ribosomal RNA", at positions 335 to 799 of the family's 1533-position model. The record is from RNAcentral.